UCCCUGGAGGACUAGUGGUUAGGCCUCGGUGCUCUCACCACCACGGCCUGGGUUCGAUUCCCGGCCAGGGAU
Molecule: transfer RNA, 72 nt
Filed under: Pangasianodon hypophthalmus (striped catfish)
Lineage: Eukaryota; Metazoa; Chordata; Actinopteri; Siluriformes; Pangasiidae
Description: tRNA-Glu
Rfam family: tRNA
About the family: Transfer RNA (tRNA) molecules are approximately 80 nucleotides in length. Their secondary structure includes four short double-helical elements and three loops (D, anti-codon, and T loops). Further hydrogen bonds mediate the characteristic L-shaped molecular structure. tRNAs have two regions of fundamental functional importance: the anti-codon, which is responsible for specific mRNA codon recognition, and the 3' end, to which the tRNAs corresponding amino acid is attached (by aminoacyl-tRNA synthetases). tRNAs cope with the degeneracy of the genetic code in two manners: having more than one tRNA (with a specific anti-codon) for a particular amino acid; and 'wobble' base-pairing, i.e. permitting non-standard base-pairing at the 3rd anti-codon position.
Source: RNAcentral